GCAGUGGUAGCUCGGUCGGGUAAGCGCCCGCUUCUCACGCUAGAGAUGCGUGCUCGAUCCGGGUUCAAAUCCCGGCGCUGACA
This 83-nucleotide transfer RNA is filed under the name Plutella xylostella (diamondback moth). Its description in RNAcentral is "tRNA-Glu". The record is from RNAcentral. Lineage: Eukaryota; Metazoa; Arthropoda; Insecta; Lepidoptera; Plutellidae.